RNAcentral lists this transfer RNA (73 nucleotides) under Ailuropoda melanoleuca (giant panda). It matches the Rfam family "tRNA". From Rfam's summary of the family: Transfer RNA (tRNA) molecules are approximately 80 nucleotides in length. Their secondary structure includes four short double-helical elements and three loops (D, anti-codon, and T loops). The record is from Rfam by way of RNAcentral. Lineage: Eukaryota; Metazoa; Chordata; Mammalia; Carnivora; Ursidae.
GCCUGGCUGGCUCAGUUGGUAGAGCACGUGACUCUUGAUCUCAAGGUUGUGAGUUUGAGCCCCACAUUGGGUG